AGCUAUACUAUAUUGUUUAGAAUAAUAUGUUGUAAUGGAUAUCACGAUAUAGGUACGUAUUAAUAUAUUGUAACAUGUAUAACUGAAGGUAUUAUAAACCUCAUUACAUGGUUCUCCUUGAUAGCUAAAAUGCCAUUUAAGAUAAUUAGCAAUCUUAUCUAUAUCAUAAUAUUAUCUAUGUACACGAGGCAGCGGUUUCUUCACUACGAGAACAACAACUUUUACUCCCACACCCAGGGCACCUGCGAGUUCCAUACGCCGAUCAGAUCAAAGGAGCCGACAUCGUAUAUAGGAGGGACAAGAGCACAGCCUGAUCAGAUGUACCUGGACCAUAGUCCAUAGAAGCCUUUACACCACUAACCAUCAGAUCCCCGAAGGGCUGCACGUAACACUGGCGCAGUCGGAGUGGAUUUCAUUCAAAGGAGACAACCGUCAAAGGCUACAGUCAACAAGGAGCAACUGAUCAUUCAUCCAAGGCGACAACUCCGAGAAAGAACCAACAAAAACAUUAAGUCACGUUGCAGCACCAUCGAAUCCAUACAUAAUGCCAUCAGCAUCGAGGAACACCACUUUAUUGCAGUGGAUUCUUCACUACGAGAACAACAACUUUUACUCCCACACCCAGGGCACCUGCGAGUUCCAUACGCCGAUCAGAUCAAAGGAGCCGACAUAGUAUAUAGGAGGGACAAGAGCACAGCCUGAUCAGAUGUACCUAGACCAUAGAAGCCUUUACACCACUAACCAUCAGGUGUAACGUCGUCAAACGGAACAAUGUCAGAGAGUAGUCAACCUUCUUCUAUUUCAAUGUGCACCAAAACAACUCAGCUGCUAUCAGUGAAUACUCCUAAGAAGAAAAAUUUAAGGACCCACGUUCGUGAACUGGAGAUAAAAUGCAAGCAGUUAGAAGAAAAUAUGAAUGCAAAUACCAAACAUAUUUCAGAAAUGAUUAAAUCUGUAUGUCAAGGACAAGCUUUUUCCACUGUGCCAAUUAAAAAAAAAAAAUUGAGAAUGGCCAUAAAAAACGGCGAUUAUAACAUUAUUUGUUAUGUAAUACAAUAUUUACAAAUUGUAUAAUUUUGUUUAAUCCUGACAAACAUAAAUUGAGAAAUACUGAAAAAUUAUAUUUUAUUUUAUUUGACGCUUAUGUGCCAUUCAAUAACAUUGAAUGUGCCGCAGUUUGGCAAACCCUGCUGUAGAUCAUUUCAAUGAAGUUGUUGAUGUUGAUUUUCCACCCAACUUGGGAAUGUUGAUGAAAAAUAAUUAUGUUAAAUUAGCCAACAGAAAACCUCAAGGUUAUCAUUAUAAAAUUUUAUAACUAUAAUUAUAUAACUAUAUUAUAUAACUAAAAUAGUUAGCACUUACAAUUUAUUUUUUUGGACCCAUUGUAUACAGAUUUUUAAAAAAAACAUUUUACAACUUCCUACACCUAGAACAUUGCGAGGAAUCAAACAGAAAAUUGAAAUUGGGACAGGAUUAAAUGAUGUUUUAUUUGAUUCUAUUGAACUUAAAUUCAAAAAUUUUAAAGAAGAUGCAAGAGACACGCAGUUGCAGCGAGUAUGCGUACGUAUGCAUAGCUGUUUUGAGUAUGGUACGUUACCUCAUGCUGCUGAGACUCCUGUCAAUUUCAUACAGUAUAUGAACUCCAAAACAAAAGCAGCAAGUAAAGAAUUAAACCUACCAUUCAAAAACAAUACUAACCAGAGAGAUCUUUUAAUCAUGAUGUUAAGUAUUUUUAAUAAUAUGCGUGUUCUUAUUACUAAAAUUGUUGAUAGAAAUAUUACAUAUAAGGAUGUUUCGCAACACAUGAAGUUUAUAAAUGGAUGGAAAAUUACAAUCAAUUCAUUGCUGUAGUUAUGGGAAUUGUUUGGAAGACAUGGAUGAAAUAUUUACAAACAUUGGAUAUACAGCAACACUUACACUCAAUAAUUCAAAUCUAUUAUUUCCAGAGAUGAAUGCACAUUUUUGUAACAAUUUGAAAGUUGAAAUUUUAGAUUAUAGAGAGCUGGAAUUUACUUCUAGAAAUGCUCUUUCGUAUGUUAGUGGUAAUUUUAUAAAAAAAUGUCUAGAUAAACAUAUUACUUGUUAUACUUGCUUGAAUUUUUCCAAAGUCAAAAUAACAUUGAUGAAUAUUUUUUAUGUACACAAUUUUAAGGCUUAUCAAAAUGAACUAAAAACAGAUUAUGGACACUUAAAUGUACCUUCACACACUUUUCUCAAUUAUAUUAAUGAAUUAGAUAACAUUUUUACAGACAACUUUUCUACAUUUGUUAUAGAAGAUAAAGUAGAGUGGAAAAUAAAAAAAAUUGUUGAAAAUGUCCAAAAUUUGAUUUAGAAUUUCUUAAAAGCUUUUUUGUACGGUUAGAAUCUUUCAUGCUAUUAAACAAUUAAAUAAAAAUUUUCUAUUGACUCCUAGAAAAUAUAGAAAAUUAGACAUUCUUCCUCAUUGAUAAUAAAUGUAUUAUGUUUAAAUUAUAUUAUAUGACAAUUAUUAUUAUUUUUUGAUAUGAUAACUAAUGUUUUGCAUAAUUUCACAAAUUCAUUACUAUUUAGUUUUACUGUAAUGGUACAUAAAAUAAUAUUUUGUAAACUUAAUUAUGUUUGUGAAUAUUGUUAUAGUAUUAUUAUUAAUAUAAGAUUGUUAUUCAUUAUGUCAACUUGAAAUUUGUAUUAGAAACUUUUUAAAACUAUUAAAUGUGUAACUAUGUUAUUAUAUUUUGAUUUGAUAAA
RNAcentral lists this long non-coding RNA (2727 nucleotides) under Acyrthosiphon pisum (pea aphid). RNAcentral describes it as "uncharacterized LOC100569632, transcript variant X1". The record is from RNAcentral. Lineage: Eukaryota; Metazoa; Arthropoda; Insecta; Hemiptera; Aphididae.